UUAUCUUUAACGUUGUUUGUACUAUUUGCAUUGAAAAAACGGAAAUACAUAAAUCUGUUACUUCAAGAAAAGGAAUGAAGGUUUUUUGUACGUGUUUUCUUUUGGCAAUUUAUCAUUUUCAAGUGAUAAAUUGUCUUCAAAUAUGUUAUGUGUGCAGUCAUGUGAUAGACUUUGCAUCCUGUCGACAAAAUGUACGAAUUUGUCCACUAGGAGAGAUAUGUUUCACGUCAGAAACCUUCAGCAACAAUGGUUUUCUGGUUUACAACUCAGGAUGUGUGUCUAAGCAGGUA
Long non-coding RNA from Saccostrea cuccullata (small rock oyster), 290 nucleotides. RefSeq lists it as uncharacterized. Lineage: Eukaryota; Metazoa; Mollusca; Bivalvia; Ostreida; Ostreidae. The transcript has 4 exons. The record is from RefSeq and is a predicted model, not a curated record.